Molecule: ribosomal RNA, 253 nt
Filed under: uncultured bacterium
Lineage: Bacteria
Description: partial 16S ribosomal RNA
Rfam family: Bacterial small subunit ribosomal RNA
Source: RNAcentral
UACGGGGGGGGCAAGCGUUGUUCGGAAUUACUGGGCGUAAAGGGCUCGUAGGCGGCCAACUAAGUCAUACGUGAAAUCCCUCGGCUUAACCGGGGAACUGCGUCUGAUACUGGAUGGCUUGAAUCCGGGAGAGGGAUGCAGAAUUCCAGGUGUAGCGGUGAAAUGCGUAGAUAUCUGGAGGAAUACCGGUGGCGAAGGCGGCAUCCUGGACCGGCAUUGACGCUGAGGAGCGAAAGCCAGGGGAGCAAACGGG